RNAcentral lists this ribosomal RNA (728 nucleotides) under uncultured eukaryote. RNAcentral describes it as "SSU rRNA". It matches the Rfam family "Eukaryotic small subunit ribosomal RNA", at positions 674 to 1426 of the family's 1831-position model. The record is from RNAcentral.
GGCCAUGUUGGUUAACAGAUCCUCAUCUGCUGGACGUCUGGCGAUGAUCUUUAUCGGUUGUCGUCAGUUGCCAGCACGUUUACUUUGAGAAAAUUAGAGUGCUAAAAGCAGGCUCACGCCUAUAUAUAUUGCAUGGAAUAAUGAAAUAAGAUCUCGAUUUUAUUUCGUUGGUUUUAGAAAUUGAGAUAAUGAUUAAUAGGAUCAGAGGGGGGCGUACGUACUGUGGUGUGAGAGGUGAAAUUCUUGGAUCGCCACAGGACGAACAGCAGCGAAGGCGUUCGCCAAGAAUGUUUUCAUUAAUCAAGAACGAAAGUUUGAGGUUCGAAGACGAUUAGAUACCGUCCUAGUUCAAACCAUAAACGUUGCCAACUGUCUUUUAGAUGCGGUUAUUUAUAUGACUCAUCUGGCGGAUCUCGAGAAAUCUAAGUUUUUAGGUUCCGGGGGAAGUAUGGUUGCAAAGCUGAAACUUAAAAGAAUCGACGGAAGGACACACAAGAAGUGGAGCCUGUGGCCUAAUUUGACUCAACACGGGAAACCUUACUCGGCCAGGACACUUUUAGGAUUGACAGAUUGAGAGCUCUUUCUUGAUUAGGUGGGUGGUGGUGCAUGGUCGUUCGUAGUUCGUGGAGCGAUUUGUCUGAUUAAUUUCGAUAACGAACGAGACUCCGGCUUACUAAAUAGUCUAAAGUUCGAAGGGACUUUUCAAGACUUCUUAGCAGGAUAAGUGG